GACGAACGCUGGCGGCGUGCUUAACACAUGCAAGUCGAACGGAAAGGCCCUGCUUUUGUGGGGUGCUCGAGUGGCGAACGGGUGAGUAACACGUGAGUAACCUGCCCUUGACUUUGGGAUAACUUCAGGAAACUGGGGCUAAUACCGGAUAGGAGCUCCUGCUGCAUGGUGGGGGUUGGAAAGUUUCGGCGGUUGGGGAUGGACUCGCGGCUUAUCAGCUUGUUGGUGGGGUAGUGGCUUACCAAGGCUUUGACGGGUAGCCGGCCUGAGAGGGUGACCGGCCACAUUGGGACUGAGAUACGGCCCAGACUCCUACGGGAGGCAGCAGUGGGGAAUAUUGCACAAUGGGCGGAAGCCUGAUGCAGCAACGCCGCGUGCGGGGUGACGGCCUUCGGGUUGUAAACCGCUUUCGCCUGUGACGAAGCGUGAGUGACGGUAAUGGGUAAAGAAGCACCGGCUAACUACGUGCCAGCAGCCGCGGUGAUACGUAGGGUGCGAGCGUUGUCCGGAUUUAUUGGGCGUAAAGGGCUCGUAGGUGGUUGAUCGCGUCGGAAGUGUAAUCUUGGGGCUUAACCCUGAGCGUGCUUUCGAUACGGGUUGACUUGAGGAAGGUAGGGGAGAAUGGAAUUCCUGGUGGAGCGGUGGAAUGCGCAGAUAUCAGGAGGAACACCAGUGGCGAAGGCGGUUCUCUGGGCCUUUCCUGACGCUGAGGAGCGAAAGCGUGGGGAGCGAACAGGCUUAGAUACCCUGGUAGUCCACGCUGUAAACGGUGGGUACUAGGUGUGGGGUCCAUUCCACGGGUUCCGUGCCGUAGCUAACGCUUUAAGUACCCCGCCUGGGGAGUACGGCCGCAAGGCUAAAACUCAAAGGAAUUGACGGGGCCCCGCACAAGCGGCGGAGCAUGCGGAUUAAUUCGAUGCAACGCGUAGAACCUUACCUGGGUUUGACAUGGAUCGGGAGUGCUCAGAGAUGGGUGUGCCUCUUUUGGGGUCGGUUCACAGGUGGUGCAUGCCUGUCGUCAGCUCGUGUCGUGAGAUGUUGGGUUAAGUCCCGCAACGAGCGCAACCCUUGUUCACUGUUGCCAGCACGUUAUGGUGGGGACUCAGUGGAGACCGCCGGGGUCAACUCGGAGGAAGGUGGGGAUGACGUCAAGUCAUCAUGCCCCUUAUGUCCAGGGCUUCACGCAUGCUACAAUGGCUGGUACAGAGAGUGGCGAGCCUGUGAGGGUGAGCGAAUCUCGGAAAGCCGGUCUCAGUUCGGAUUGGGGUCUGCAACUCGACCUCAUGAAGUCGGAGUCGCUAGUAAUCGCAGAUCAGCAACGCUGCGGUGAAUACGUUCCCGGG
This 1343-nucleotide ribosomal RNA is filed under the name uncultured bacterium. RNAcentral's name for it is "16S ribosomal RNA". It matches the Rfam family "Bacterial small subunit ribosomal RNA", at positions 28 to 1378 of the family's 1533-position model. The record is from RNAcentral.